UACGUAGGGUGCGAGCGUUAAUCGGAAUUACUGGGCGUAAAGCGUGCGCAGGCGGCUUUGCAAGACAGAUGUGAAAUCCCCGGGCUCAACCUGGGAACUGCAUUUGUGACUGCGAGGCUAGAGUACGGCAGAGGGGGAUGGAAUUCCGCGUGUAGCAGUGAAAUGCGUAGAUAUGCGGAGGAACACCAAUGGCGAAGGCAAUCCCCUGGGCCUGUACUGACGCUCAUGCACGAAAGCGUGGGGAGCAAACAGG
RNAcentral lists this ribosomal RNA (253 nucleotides) under uncultured bacterium. RNAcentral describes it as "partial 16S ribosomal RNA". It matches the Rfam family "Bacterial small subunit ribosomal RNA", at positions 524 to 776 of the family's 1533-position model. The record is from RNAcentral.